This is a non-coding RNA of Paramuricea clavata, 529 nucleotides long. NCBI's taxonomy places the organism in Eukaryota, Metazoa, Cnidaria, Anthozoa, Malacalcyonacea, Plexauridae. The record is from the annotation of a GenBank genome assembly.
GAGAAAUGUUUUUCGUGGUAAAAAUGUUGCUGUUCCAACCAUUAAAAAGUCAAAUCAAAACUUUUAGCCAAACUCGAAUAUCAAUUAAAAAAUAAAUACACGCCCCGGGCCACACAUGUCUUUUCAAUACCACUUCUGUGACGUGAGUUUGAUAACUGCUUGUGCAUUUUUCUGCAGUCUAAAGUUUCAUGUUGUCUGCACAUGUACUCUCUUUGGAGACUCCAUUUGCCUCCUGACAAAAUGAUGAAGACAUACACUGAUUGAUUUACAUAUUGUAUAUGACUGUUGACAUAACUUUUUAGUCUUCAAUAUUUGAGUGAGUCAUGCUUGGAAAUGACAACUGAUAAAUUCUUAUUGCCCAAUCCAGACAAUCCUUGAGUUGUUUUGUUUUUCAUUUGCCCAACCUUUUACUCACUCAACAUUUUGUUUUUUGUACGCAACCCUAUUUUUUAUUAGUUUUACAAUACGAAAUUGAAGGCACAGACAAUACGACUAAUAAAGUCCCAAUUAAAUUAAGUCCUGCCAUACU